AGAGCAAACACAACUUGUUCAGAAGCGCUUCAGCGGAGAAGCACUUUUUCUCACGCGCAUCGGCUCAAGCUUUCUCGGUUUCUCUUGUGCGACACACUCUCAAACUCAUGCUCUCUCCCUCUCAAUUCUUACGCAACAACAACAAUUACGACGUAGAUUCUGUUGGUCUCAAAUUGGUUGGAUUUGGAUUUCAGAACUGAUUUGAAUUGUUAACGAUUCAGGAUUCGAUUCACGUUAGGGUUCAGAGUCUGUUUGCGCUCGAAAUUUCAACUCAGAGCAGUUUGAGUUAAAGUUAGAGCAGGCAUACGAUAUCAUAAAGCUGAGAAUGGAGGAAUGCUUAGCGGUUGAAGCGACGAGGAGAAGAAAAUGCAGCUUUCAAUCUUGCUCACAAGGUAUUCGAUAAAAUGCUAUUAGCAUAGAAUUAUCGUCGUUAUUACCGUUUCGUCAAAUGCAAAGUCUUGGACGCCCUCCAAAUGGGAAAAACGACUUCCUUCCAUUGGUUGCUUUUAGAGGACCCUCAGAAAAUCUUUAUGGAUUGAACACAUUAGCAUCAUCACCCCAUAGCUUUGUGUCGCGGUGAACUAAAAGUGCCGGCAAGAAAAAUUGCACUCCAGCAGGCAAUGUUAGGUCUCCAACUUUUACAUAUUUUUGAACUUCUCGAGGAAGUGCAACUAUUGGCGGGUAUAACAACCAAGUUGUUGUUUCUGCUGGAGUAUUUCGUGUUUCUACCGGCUUUAGUUUUUGGGUUUGUUUUGGUGGGGUGCAGAGCACACUUGUUCAUUUAUGUACAGAGUGAUCUGCCAUUUUGGUGUACAGAAAAACAAAACUACUUGCUGAUGCAAUUUUUUGUAGCAAAGAAAUGAAAUGAGAAUUAGAAUUGAAAAUUGAGGAAAAAUUAGGAGAUGGGGAGUUAAGUGACAUUGAGAAACUAGCCAAGCAAUCCUCUAACAAGUGGCGGCAACUUGACAUCUUGAAGCGUUGAUUACAAAUACCGACUCUUCCUCCAUGAUUGUAGGUAUUAGAGUCUCAUCAAGCAAACAAAGUUGACGCGUCUGAAACUGCCAAGGCUGUGAUAUCUUGCUUCAAUAAGUUGGGGGGUCUCUUUCGAUAUGGAUCAGAUACAAUUAAUCAGGGACCCUGAGCAUCAAGUUGAAAUGGUGGGAGUUCCAGAGUAGUAUUUAUCGGGUCAUGCCUUUCAUAUGUAUCAUUUGACAUCACCUAUGGUGGGAGUUCCAGAUGCUGUACUAUUUCUUGCUAAAAAGAUUGAAGCAAAGGAUUCCAAGAGAAUCUACAAUAUGAUUGAUGUUUUGCGAGAGGGUAAUAUGCGAUAAAAAGUUCUAUGGAGUAUGAUGCAAGAUGUGGAAAUUUGGGAUUCUAAUAAAGCAAUUUUCAUCUUGUGUCCAAUUUUCGUAUCAAUUUAUUUGAGGAAAGCUUAGUUUGUACUAUUGUGGCUUAUCUAUAACAUGAUUUGAGUAAGAACAAUAUAAUAUAAAGACGUACGGUUACUAAUUUCUUUUAUUUUAA
Molecule: long non-coding RNA, 1524 nt
Organism: Vicia villosa (hairy vetch)
Lineage: Eukaryota; Viridiplantae; Streptophyta; Magnoliopsida; Fabales; Fabaceae
Exons: 6
Source: RefSeq, a predicted model, not a curated record